AGCAUCAAGAGGAAAAGUCAGGAACAUCCACCGGGUCCGACUAGAAAGUCGAAGAGGAAAGAUCAAACAGAUCUGCCGGAGAGCGAGUACAAGGUUGGCCACUUCGUUGUAGUGAGCGAAGUGGUCAACGACGGCGAAGACACUGAGCCGUGGUUCGGGAAGGUCGUCGCCGUCAACCCAGCCCGGCAGACCCUGCGUCUGGUAUGGUAUGAACGAGACGCCGA
Molecule: long non-coding RNA, 224 nt
Organism: Branchiostoma belcheri (Belcher's lancelet)
Lineage: Eukaryota; Metazoa; Chordata; Leptocardii; Amphioxiformes; Branchiostomatidae
Exons: 3
Source: RefSeq, a predicted model, not a curated record